RNAcentral lists this ribosomal RNA (301 nucleotides) under uncultured bacterium. Its description in RNAcentral is "partial 16S ribosomal RNA". It matches the Rfam family "Bacterial small subunit ribosomal RNA", at positions 509 to 808 of the family's 1533-position model. The record is from RNAcentral.
CAGCCGCCGCGGUAAUACGUAGGUGGCAAGCGUUGUCCGGAAUUAUUGGGCGUAAAGCGAGCGCAGGCGGUUUGAUAAGUCUGAAGUUAAAGGCUGUGGCUCAACCAUAGUUCGCUUUGGAAACUGUCAAACUUGAGUGAAGAAGGAGAGAGUGGAAUUCCAUGUGUAGCGGUGAAAUGCGUAGAUAUAUGGAGGAACACCGGUGGCGAAAGCGGCUCUCUGGUCUGUAACUGACGCUGAGGCUCGAAAGCGUGGGGAGCGAACAGGAUUAGAUACCCGUGUAGUCCCUGUCUCUUAUACA